This 7103-nucleotide non-coding RNA is filed under the name Pongo abelii (Sumatran orangutan). Lineage: Eukaryota; Metazoa; Chordata; Mammalia; Primates; Hominidae. The record is from RNAcentral.
CGUGUUAAGGGAUGCCUUUUGCCUCCCACCGUGAUUCUGAGGCCUCCCCAACCAUGUGCAACUGCACAGGCCCAAGGUGAACAGGAAAGACGAGAGCCGCCCUGCCCGGAAACGUCCACAUGUGGGUACUGCAUCCCCACCGGUGGCUUGAGGCCCCCACGCCCGUCACAGUGGCAGGUGUAGCUCCCUGGGGAGUUCACGCAGACCUGCUCACAGCGGCCCUGCAGACACUCAUCCACAUCUGCCAGCCAGAGGGAAGCAGCAGUGAGCAGGGGAGGCCUCUACGCUGUACUGCCGCGGGAUCACACCGCGAUUGCUCAAACCACACACAAGGUCCUGCCGUCAGAGGAGAGCUCGAAGCCGCUGUGGCAGGCACAGUGGAAGCUGCCCGGCUUGUUGUGGCAGAUCUGGAGGCAGCCCCCGUUCUCCUGGCUGCAUUCGUUGACAUCUGGGAACAAGCACAGGCCUGAAAGGGAGCCCAAGGGUGCACAGCCCCUGGCUACUGAGGAGGCUGCAGGCCAGGAGUGACCUCUGGGUGCCUGAGGACAGACAAGGCCAGGCCAGAGCUGGCUACUCCUUAGCAAAGCCCUCCUAGGCCACCUGUGGGGUGGGACUUGCCAAAGGGGACAGGCUGGCCUGCUGGACUCUCCACUAUGGGUCUCCACCAGGCCCUGGAGCUAUUCUUCCUCCAGGGUCUUCACUGACACCACAGGUCUGCACUCAAGGAUGGUCAGAGGUGAAAUUUCUCCCCCGCCUUUCAAUCAGUGGGUGCUGAGGCAUCACUUGGUGUUUCCUUUUAUUCCAGCCCUGCUCCCAGAAAGGAGACCGCAGCUCCUCCCAAUUCUCCUGGGGCUCCAGGAUACCUCAGGGCUGCAGCCUCCUUGGGGCUGUCGGAGAGCAGCCUGAGGAUGGCCCAGCCCUGGAGUGGGAGUGAGGAGUGGGGAUCAGGGCAGGGUUGGAGAGGGAGGGAGACCCCGCCUUUGUCUUCAGCCUCACGUACCUUUGUCGCAGAGCCGGCCCCCCCAGCCAGCUUUACACAGGCAGAAGAAAUUGCCCAUGAGGUCCUGGCAGGCUUGGGUCCCCUUCCUAUCGCAGGGGUUGGGCGUGCACUGGUCAGGCAGGUCUGAUUGGGGACACAAAGUGGAAAAUCAUGUUCAGCUGCCCCUCUGCGCCCUAUGCAGCUGAGAUCAGGGCGGCCGUGGGGUCUCGGGUCCAGCCCGGAGGAGCUUUGAGGGGCGGAGGCUGAGGCAGGCCCCGGGCACCCGAGCCCCCUGUGCUGGCCUAGGGCUGAUACAACAGGCUGGCGGGCCCUGGGGCUGGCUCCAGGAAAACUCAGAUCAACUGGGACGGAGUGCCAGCAGGCCUGGACGCGAGGCGGGAAGGGCUGAGGGCAAAGGAGCAGGAACUGCCUGGCGUGAGGCCCGGGAGCUCAGACCUCCCAGGGAGUAGGCACACAGAACCCCCAGCUGACCUGGGGGCUUCCAGGCAGACUUAGAACAUUCUGCCUUCCCUGGCCAGCCCUAGCCCAUCUCUGGUGAACUCUCCCCGCUGGGUGUGGCAGGGAGGACCCCAGGCCCAGGCUGCACUGCCAGAGGGGUCCUCCAGAAAGCCCCCCUCUUUCUGCUUAGCUGCCCCCUCUCCACGUGUCUUGAUGGCUUUAGGCCAGGUGUGUUCUGCCCUCUCUCAGGGUGGUCACCUGGGCUCAGCUCCUGCAGGGCCAGAGAUCAGGGGGACGGGUGACGGCCUGAGGGUGGGAACCCGUCCCAGCGCAGCUGCUUCCCAAGCAGUCCCCCAUCUGAGGAGCUGCUCACAAACACGUUCAUAUGAGGAGCUGCUCACAAACACGCUUCCAGGACACGGACCGAAACCACGUCCCAGAGGCAGGCAGGGAAGCCCCCGACAGUGCACUUACGCAAGCCUGAGCCCCGGGAAGUUGGCAGAAAGAACGACAAUUACACCCGGAGCUCAAAGAAUCCUUUCAUGGCUGCUGGCUGAGCAGAAGCAGCUCGGGGCUGGGCAUGGCAGUGCCCAGGGGCGCGGUCCACACUCAGCUCAGUCCCACAUGAGGACUCAGCCACGCUCAGCUUAGCCACACACGGCUCCGUGGGGAACCCUGGGUAGGGCCCCCUGCUGGCUGAGAGAGGGCUCCUGUCCAUUGAUUCCACACAAGUUCAAUAAGGACCAGUCCCUGGGAAAAGCGCAGGCCGGGCCAGCAGGGCCCUAGGGCACUGGGCCAGCGUCGUCCUAAGGGGUCAGCUCUGGUGGGGGCACGUGGAGUCUUCAGUGCAUGGGCUCUCACUGCCAGUGUGUUGCUUCCGUUCCUGAGGCUCCCAAGGUGACGUUUCCCACCAGGUCUGUAGAAUGUGGCGUUUCCACCAGAGGGUCUGGGCUCGGCUGUCAGUGCAGGAGCCGCUUCCCUCCCCACCUGGCCAGGGUCAGCGGUGCCCGGUGCCAGGGUGAGCAGCGGGCGGGUCUGUGGUUCACGAAGCUGUGUUCGUCCAGCUCAUCCAGGGCAUACAGUCACUGCCUGUGGCCGGCACAGACACAGCCCCUGUCCUCCCAGGCAGGUCCAGGCACCGAGCUCACCAGAGGCCCCAGCUACGAGUCCCAGACUUCUUGGGGAAGCUGCCCAACCACACUGGCUUCUUCCUGCGACGCUUCGCCGUACGCCUCACAGUGUUUCCUCCGUAUGCCUCACAGUUUGCUCCGUACGCCCGUUUCCUCCAUAUGCCCUAGUUUCCUCCACAUGCCCCACAGUUUCCUCCCAACGCCCCACAGCUUCCUCCCAAUGCCCCACAGCUUCCUCUCAAUGCCCCCCAGUUUCCUCCGUACACCUCAGUUUCCUCCGCAUGCCUCACAGUUUCCUCCAACACCUCACAGUUUCCUCCGUACGCCCCAGUUUCUUCCAUACGCCCCAGUUUCCUUCAUACACCCCAGUUUCCUCCAUAUGCCUCACAGUUUCCUCCGACGCCUCAGUUUCCUCCGUAUGCCCAUUUCCUCCAUAUGCCCGUUUCCUCCAUAUGCCUCACAGUUUCCUCCAUACGCCUCAAUUUCCUCCGUACGCCCCACAGUUUCCUCCAUACGCCUCACAGUUUCCUCCAUACGCCUCAAUUUCCUUCAUACGCCUCACAGUUUCCUCCAUAGGCCUCAAUUUCCUCCAUAUGCCCCAUAGUUUCCUCCAUACGCCUCAGUUUCCUCCAUACGCCUCCAGUUUCCUCCAUACGCCUCACAGUUUCUUCCAUACGCCCCAGUUUCCUCCAUACGCCCACAGUUUCCUCCAUAUGCCUCAAUUUCCUCCAUAUGCCCCAGUUGCCUCCAUACGCCUCAGUUUCCUCCAUACCCCCAGUUUCCUCCGUAUGCCCACAGUUUCCUCCAUACGCCUCACAGUUUCCUCCAUACGCCUCAGUUUCCUCCAUAUGCGUCAGUUUCCUCCGUAUGCCCCACAGUUUCCUCCAUACGCCUCAGUUUCCUCCGUAUGCCUCAGUUUCCUCCGUAAGCCUCAGUUUCCUCUGUCUGCCUCACAGUUUCCUCUAUAAGCCUCAGUUUCCUCCGUACACCCCACAGUUUCCUCCCUACACCUCCAGUUUGCUUGUUUUGCACAAAUGACUGACAACUGAACGCUUGUGGGUGUGGACGGAGCUCGCGUCUGGAAGUGUUUCUAAGAUGCUAUUUUCAGCAGAUCGCUAUAAACGCUUUCUACUCUGAAGCACACAGGGGCUGGGGCUGGCCUUCGGAGUUACGAGGAAACGAGGACCAGGACCAGGGAUUCUGCAUCAGCACAGCUGCCAGGAGCCAGCCGGGGCCCCAUCCCUGACACUGCUGUCGCCGGGCUGUACCUGGGUGCUGUGUCCGCGGGGCGUCCGGAGAUGUCGACGUGGUCACAGCAGGGCCUGGAACAGGGAGGUCUGGCCUGGACUAGAGAAACGAGGGGUGCAUCCGCUUCUCCACCCUGGCCUCAGAUGAAGAGGCUCUGGGGGCAGGAGGGAGUCAGACACGGGCAGGGCAGGCGGCCUGUGCAGGGCCCAACCCUCCGGCACUGGAACCUGACCCCCUCAGAGGCCCCCACCGUGGAGGGAUGUCUAGGGGAUGCUGUGCGCUGCCGCUACGAUGUUUGGUUAGAGAUUAAAGCCAUUUCAGAAGUGGACACCUGCCCGCAAAGGGCUGGGAACCCGGUCUUGACUUUGCCUGGAAUGCCCUUUGGAAAGACCUCUGUCCCUGAGGCUGAGGGACAGUGCCUGCUCCUGCCAGGUGCCCAGCUCUUAAGCGGUUCCCAGUCUCAUGCCGCCUGCCCCGGGGCCUCCCCCAACUCAUUUGUUUAUUUCCCUGUUGGGAAUGUAUUGAUACCUCCAGGGUGCAAGGACGGAACCACACCUGAGGGGUGGACACUCAGCUGGUGCCCAGCAAAUAUCUGUGGAAUUUCCUCCACACAACAGGGAAAGUGAUGGAGACAGAAACCUCUGCAGGCCCCCGAGGGCACCCACCUCUCUGACCCCCAUCCCGCAAGCUGGGCCUAGGGCAUCGGUGGCCUGUGGUCAUGCCCUGGGUGCCAGCGCCUGUGGAGAGUUCAGGAGGCGAAGGGUUUAUCUCAGCUCGGCCCAUGACUGUGUUGAAGGACGGGAGGGAGUGGCCGUGGCUGUGGCUGGAAUCUGAAGCUGGUGUGGGCGGCCAGGGCCCUUCCCUGGGUGGUGACGAGCGAGGACCAGAGCCCUGUCCGCCCGAGGGAAGGGCGAGGGGACACUUCCCGUGGCGGGGGUGGGAUCCUGGUAGCCGGGGCUCAGUGACCGCUGCCUGGGCCACCGCCUAUGGGGACCUGACCUUCCUGGGGAAACCCAUGGGUCAAAGGAGCUGAGAAAUCCAAGCACCAAGUGGCCGCUAGGGCAGGACGGGCGCGUUCGCAGUGGAGAAGCUGGAUGUGUCCGUGGGAAAGGAAAGAAAUGGAAGCAGAGGCUCAUCAGGGGCACCUGGAAACGCAGCCUACACUCUUCCCAGGCCUCCUCCCUCCGUCCACUGUGCCGCCUGGGUCCUGGGACAGCCCGAGGGCCACAGGCUCCCAUGCAAGACCCGCUGGGGGCCUGCUUGUCUGGGGCUGAAUUUGGACUUCAUGGGGCUAUGGCUUUAAUGUCACAAUAACCGAUAACCAGUGAACUGAAGCCAGGACAGCACCGCGAGCACCAAGUCAGAGCAUUUUCACGAGGGAACAGGAACAGAGUGCGAGGCUGCCCCCGCCGCGUCCUCCGGGAGGCGCCUUCCCAGGGGAGUGCAAGGCUGCCUGCUGUGACCAGGCCACCAAAGCACCUUCUUCACCGCCAGGCAUCUUUUGAGGCACACGAACAUCAGAGGCCCCAGCUACAUGCUCUGGAGGAGAAGCUGAGAGCCCCAGGCCACAGGCAGGGCAGCCUCCAAGGGCCGGCUCAGGGAGAGUGGCCAGAGCUUCUGGCCUGGGGCAGGUGGACCCGUUAGAAACUGCAUGUGUUGCCUCUGGCACCAGCCACAGCAAGAGAUUCUCUUCCUAUCACACAGGGAACAAACUCAAGUAUCUUGACCCUGCCCUCCUCUCCCCAGCUGGCCGCACUUGGGGACGCUGAUGCCACAAAGGAAAUAAUAAACCAAAACAAGAUAACGCUAUUGGGCAGUGGGAACAGAAAGGAACACGUAGCAAUCACUCCUCUUCAUCCAUGCAAGCAAGCGAGGCGAUGCCAUGAAAAGGACGGCCUUCUUUGCUGCAAAUAGCCAGAAGUGAACUUAGCAAAGGAAGCACGGGACGCACAGGAAGAAAAGUGCUCCAAGGGACGGACAGGAUGGUGCCGGGGUUAGGAAAGCGCAACGCUGUUCAGACACAGUCUCCGAUAUAUGAAUGGCAAGCCCAGUUAAAAAUAUCCAAAGGGCUUUUUUAGGUUUUUAAGAAUAUUCUUAAGGUUUAUUUUAUUGAAAAAUAAGCAAGACAACCAGAAAAAAGACUGAGGAGGGCAUAGGAGACCCACCCGCAUGCAUGAGGCCGAGUCUAAAGCUGUGGCCACAGCCUGUGGAAACCCGGCAGAAAAUCUCCCAAAUACCCAUAUGAGGACGGCAGCAGGCGAGGCACUGGGGUGAGACAGACUCAAAUGUGUGGUGUUGGGACAGGCGAGGCACUGGGGUGAGAUAAACUCAAACGUGUGGUGUUGGGGCAGGAACUGUGCCUGCAGUCUAGAUCCCCACCUCGUCCAUCAUGUCAAAAGAAAUUACAGGCGGGUCACAGAUGAAAACAUCUAACAGCAGGUAACUGUUUUGUAAUCUUGGGGAGAAGCCUAAAGCCCAGGAACUAAGAGAAUAUAACAAGUGUGAACACAGAAUUUAAAAGAAGAGAUUGGUCUAGCAAUCACUAAGAUAAAACACGUGUGGCAGGAUCUGCUUGUCUCCUCUGAGCGCACAGGAGCCUCUGCCCCAAAUGCAGACAUUGGGCCCUACGUGGCACCAGGCUACUGUGCAUGGUUGCAGGUCAGGGCGGGCCGGGCCACAGGGCAGGGCCACCCUCCCAUUCCCAUGUUUACACUGAGCAUUUCCUCUGCCUGUGGCCCUUGGGCUGGGGUCUGUGAUCCAAGUCUGGGAGGCCUAGGGACGCCCACGGACAGCACGUGGGGCUUGGGGAGUGGGACUGAGCCAUCUCUGACUCCUUCUGCUGACUGGGAUCCAGUUCCAAAGCCAUGCCUGGGAAGAGACUCCUGCCUCUCCCAGCAUGACUCUGUACCGCCACGCCUCCGCUCUCGGCCCCCACAGGCACUCACCAAGGUGGCCUUUCAUCUAAAACUAGACACACGUGACGCCAGGGGACCACAGACCCAGUGUGAGGGGACCUGUGUGGGUUGUGCUGCAGGUAUGUUAAAAUUCACACAGGACACCCAAAACAAUCAAUCUUAUUGUAUGAUAAUUUUAAAAUAAUAAAAAAGACUUGUGGCAAGCUGAAAAAAUUUUUGACAAUUUUUGACAACAUUGGAAUUAGCCAUUCCAAUGGCUAAUUUGCAAACUCCUACAAAUUGAGAAAAAUAGGCAAAAAAUAUAAACAACAGUUUAUAGGAAAAGAAAUACACAGUUUUUAAACCUAUGAAGCACAGCUUUACUCAUUAGUU